Molecule: long non-coding RNA, 634 nt
Organism: Magallana angulata
Lineage: Eukaryota; Metazoa; Mollusca; Bivalvia; Ostreida; Ostreidae
Exons: 2
Source: RefSeq, a predicted model, not a curated record
UGGUGUGGAUGGGAUGGAUAUAAAUAUCAAGCUGUCAGGAGAAACCAUAAGAGAUUUUGUUAAAUGCAUUGAUUGCAACAAACCAAGGGGGAUUUACUCUGCUAAGAAGCGUUUAGUUGAUCAAAAGAGACAUUUGGAAGACUUGAAAGAAGAAUGUGUCUACACUUGUGGUGGAAUACUUGUACCAGAAGUUCAUGAACUCUAUGGAACUGUUUUUGUACAACCUAAAGUUACUUGUGCUGCUCCUGUUGUUGCUCACUGUUUUGUGGCUUGGUCAACAUUCAAAAGUGUAUGGUUUCAUUGUGGGGAUGAGGACAUUUUCCAAUAUCGGACGAAUUGAAGAAAAACUUUCAGCAGUUCAUCCAGUUUGUAAUUCAUGCAAAAGAAAUGGUGUUAAUGAACGCACCAAAGGUGCUAGAUCUCUUAAACGGAAACCUUAAAGUGAUACACUGUGCAAAGCAUUUAAAAGUGAUACACUGUAUGAUGACUAUUUUCAAAACGCCAGUUCUAUAAUGCAGGGAAUUUAUUUUAAGUGUUGUGCCAAAGAUAUAGAUUUUUCAUUAUAUUAUUUGUUAUUUUUGUUACAAAAUGAAGAAAAUACUUCAAAAUAUAUAAUAAAUUUAAUAUUGUUGAA